AGUUCAGAGGCUAUUGAAAUGCUCCAGCCCUAUAUUAGGUAUUGAGGGUUCAGGGAUGAACUAAGCUGAUCUGGUUCCUGCUCUCUAGGCUGUAGAAGAUGGCAAGUGCUGUGGACUUCAAAGAAAAGAUUUCUGAAGUGUCAUGUUAUGACAAUUGUGCAUCCAAGAUACAUUGGUUGUUUGCUUAACCAUCGUUUUCGCAUGUGCCAUCUGUCAAAGUCUGGAAGAAACCUAAGAUGUGUUGCAUUAAAUUUGAAGAUUCCUCCUGUUCAGAAGCAAGAAACAAACAAAAUCAAUAAGUACUCAUUAAUUAAGAAAACAGAGCAUUAUUAUGAAAUCAUACACAUGGAAAACUUAUCAACAAUAAAAAUAACGACAAACACCAUUACAUUCUCCUUUAUAGGAGACAAACAGUAUAAACCCCAAGGAAGAGUGAUUUCUCUAUGAUCUAGUAAGUUCUAAAAAUUAAAGUCCAACUAACUUUAAGGUA
This is a long non-coding RNA of Homo sapiens (human), 490 nucleotides long. Lineage: Eukaryota; Metazoa; Chordata; Mammalia; Primates; Hominidae. The record is from Ensembl.